AACGAACGCUGGCGGCAGGCCUAACACAUGCAAGUCGAGCGAGGACUUCGGUCCUAGCGGCGGACGGGUGAGUAACGCGGGGGAACGUGCCCUUUGCUUCGGAAUAGCCCUGGGAAACUGGGAGUAAUACCGGAAGAGUCCCGUUGGGGAAAGAUUUAUCGGCGAAGGAUCGGCCCGCGUUGGAUUAGGUUGGUGGGGGUGUAAUGGCCUACCAAGCCGACGAUCCCUAGCUGGUUUGAGAGGAUGAUCAGCCACACUGGGACUGAGACACGGCCCAGAGUCCUACGGGAGGCAGCAGUGGGGAAUCUUAGACAAUGGGGGAAACCCUGAUCGAGCCAUGCCGCGUGAGCGAUGAAGGCCUUAGGGUUGUAAAGCUCUUUCAGCUGGGAAGAUAAUGACGGUACCAGCAGAAGAAGCCCCGGCUAACUCCGUG
RNAcentral lists this ribosomal RNA (433 nucleotides) under uncultured bacterium. Its description in RNAcentral is "partial 16S ribosomal RNA". It matches the Rfam family "Bacterial small subunit ribosomal RNA", at positions 29 to 507 of the family's 1533-position model. The record is from RNAcentral.